RNAcentral lists this ribosomal RNA (484 nucleotides) under uncultured bacterium. RNAcentral describes it as "partial 16S ribosomal RNA". It matches the Rfam family "Bacterial small subunit ribosomal RNA", at positions 30 to 507 of the family's 1533-position model. The record is from RNAcentral.
AUUGAACGCUGGCGGCAGGCCUAACACAUGCAAGUCGAGCGGAUGAAGGGAGCUUGCUCCUGGAUUCAGCGGCGGACGGGUGAGUAAUGCCUAGGAAUCUGCCUGGUAGUGGGGGAUAACGUCCGGAAACGGGCGCUAAUACCGCAUACGUCCUGAGGGAGCAAGUGGGGGAUCUUCGGACCUCACGCUCUCAGAUGAGCCUAGGUCGGAUUAGCUAGUUGGUGGGGUAAAGGCCUACCAAGGCGACGAUCCGUAACUGGUCUGAGAGGAUGAUCAGUCACACGGGAACUGAGACACGGUCCAGACUCCUACGGGAGGCAGCAGUGGGGAAUAUUGGACAAUGGGCGAAAGCCUGAUCCAGCCAUGCCGCGUGUGUGAAGAAGGUCUUCGGAUUGUAAAGCACUUUAAGUUGGGAGGAAGGGCAGUAAGUUAAUACCUUGCUGUUUUGACGUUACCAACAGAAUAAGCACCGGCUAACUUCGUG